CGACCUAGUCCGCCCAGCACUAAGCCGAACGACCCCCCCUUUUCAAUUACCCUUUAUUCUCCAUCUCCCCAAAAACCCUAAAGACGCCAACCCUCAUUUUCUCCAAGUCGUCGCCCGCCACCCUCACCGAUAACACCAGUCCCGUUCACCCUCUUGUCCACCUACAACCCCUGACCUCCAUCCGUUUCUGCUCUUUCGUCACUCGUCAAACACCAAAAGUCCAGCUCCACGCCGACCAGACCUCACCACGCCAAGAACCAGCAAUCACCUGAGCGACCAGCUCUGCCCCGCCAGUGACCUGCACCAGAAACAUGCACACGAUGAAGCAGCAAAUUUGUUCGACGCUAGAUAUUGAGUUUCGUUUGAGCCGAGGUUGAGUCCAGUUUCAGUUCAGUCACCAGUUCAAGUUUGGGUUCGAUAAAUUCAUAUUCUUCUCUUUCUCUUGUUCCGAUUAGAAUUGAGUUUUGGUUACUCUUGAUUUUGUUUUUCUUUGUAUUGCUAAUUAUCUUGAAUUUGCCCUGUAUUAUGUGUCAAUGAAUUAUGUUCCAUACCUCUGUCGUUUGGGAUUAAUUCAGGGAUUAAUUCAUUCCAUACGUAGUUAAUUGUUGUAUCGGGUUUAAAAUAGUCCCAAUUCCAUUGUUUCUACAAAUCUGGUUUUGAGUUGUUAAUACUGAUACAUUAGUGAUUUCUACUGCUACUGCUGACUGACUCACUUUGACUUCCAGUUUGAUCUUUUUGUUUUACUGCUAUACUCAGGUACACAUUCUGAAUCUCCUAUGAUGUAGGCUUCAAUUUGAAGAAGGGAAUAAAAGGCAAUGUUGAAAUUUUGGACAAUAGUUUUACUUGUGUCAUAAGCUCUACUUCUUUUGAUGAUGUUUUUUGAUUUAGUCAUUUUGAGUUGAGUCGUAUUAAAAUUGAGCAUGCUUACUUAGGUGUUUUUAGUAUGAGGUUCGAAUAAGGUUUGAAUUCCAUAGCCUAUCCUAUUGAGUGGUCGUUGUCUAUUCAGAAAAUUUUUGAAAUUACCUUUCGAGGGUGCUAAUAGACUCGUUUCAUAUUGUAGUUGACAGCUUAAAUCAUGGAUUGUUGGAACGUUGUAUUAAGAGCUGUAAAAUAAUUAAAGUUUCAUAUUCAAAGUUAAAGAUUCAUUGUGAAUUAAUUUUUUUGUAAAAUUUUGACGUUUCUUGCUAUUUUCUUUUAACAGUGUGUUUCAGCUUAUAUCAAUAUUGCUAGUGAAUGGAUUUGUGAGCUAGUAUAACUUUACUGUUGAGUUUAGUAAUUAGUUGCAAAAUGUUGGUUUCUUGUUUAAUUUUUUCUGGACAUAUGUAUGUGGAAUUGUUAUUCCAAUUGUUGAGUUCAUUUGGUCCGUUGGUUUUAUGCUAAGGUUUUUGUAAGGCCCCGUGAAAUGAG
This 1407-nucleotide long non-coding RNA is filed under the name Nicotiana benthamiana. RNAcentral describes it as "long non-coding RNA (NBEN_LNC023460)". Lineage: Eukaryota; Viridiplantae; Streptophyta; Magnoliopsida; Solanales; Solanaceae. The record is from RNAcentral.